RNAcentral lists this ribosomal RNA (232 nucleotides) under uncultured bacterium. RNAcentral's name for it is "partial 16S ribosomal RNA". It matches the Rfam family "Bacterial small subunit ribosomal RNA", at positions 545 to 776 of the family's 1533-position model. The record is from RNAcentral.
UCGGAAUUACUGGGCGUAAAGGGCUCGUAGGCGGCCAACUAAGUCAGACGUGAAAUCCCUCGGCUUAACCGGGGAACUGCGUCUGAUACUGGAUGGCUUGAAUCCGGGAGAGGGAUGCGGAAUUCCAGGUGUAGCGGUGAAAUGCGUAGAUAUCUGGAGGAACACCGGUGGCGAAGGCGGCAUCCUGGACCGGCAUUGACGCUGAGGAGCGAAAGCCAGGGGAGCAAACGGG